RNAcentral lists this ribosomal RNA (1474 nucleotides) under Candidatus Altarchaeales archaeon. RNAcentral describes it as "bacterial SSU rRNA". It matches the Rfam family "Archaeal small subunit ribosomal RNA". Lineage: Archaea; Nanobdellati; Candidatus Altarchaeota; Candidatus Altarchaeia; Candidatus Altarchaeales. The record is from RNAcentral.
CAAUUCCCGUUGAUCCUGCGGGAGAUUGCUGCUAUUCGGAUUCGACUUAGGCAUGCAAGUCAAAGGGCUCUUCGGAGCACUGGCAAAAGGCUCAGUAACACGUCGAUAAUCUGCCCUAUGGUCUGGGAUACCCUUGGGAAACUGAGGUUAAACCCGGAUAGAGGAUUGAUACUGUAAUGUGCUUUCCUUGAAAAGUAAUGCCAUAGGAUGAGUUGGCGGCUGAUUAGGUUGUUGGUAGGGUAAAGGCCUACCAAGCCAAAGAUCAGUACGGGGGAUGAGAGUCCUAGCCCGGAGAAGGACACUGAGACAAGGGUCCUAGCCCUAAGGGGUGCAGCAGCUACGAAACCUUUACAAUGCACGAAAGUGUGAUAAGGGAAUCCGAAGUGCUUACCUUCUGGGUAGGCUUUUCUUAAGUGUAAGUAGCUUAAGGAAUAAGUGGUGGGAAAUACCGGUGCCAGCAGCCGCGGUAAUACCGGAGCCACAAGUGGCAAUCGUGAUUAUUGGGCCUAAAGCGUUCGUAGCUGGUUUAGUAAAUCUUUUGUGAAAUUGUUAGACCUAAUCUAGCAAAUGGCAAGAGAGACUGCUAAACUUGAGACCGGGAAGAGACAGAAGUAUUCCUUGGGAAGCGGUAAAAUGUUUUAAUCCUUGGAAGACUACCAAUGGCGAAGGCAUCUGUCUAGAACGGCUCUGACAGUGAGGGACGAAGGCUAGGAGAACGAUCGGGAUUAGAUACCCCAGUAGCCCUAGCUGUAAACGCUGUGAACUAUGUGUUGCAUGUUCUUCGGGAAUGUGCAGUGCCGAAGCGAAGGUGUUAAGUUCACCGCCUGGGGAAUACGGUCGCAAGACUGAAACUUUAAGGAAUUGGCGGGGGCGCACUACAACGAGUGCGGCGUGCGGUUUAAUUUAAUUCCACACAGAGAAUCUUACCAGCAGCGACGGCAGGAUGAAGGUCAGAUUGAAGGUUUUACCUAACGAGCCGAGAGGUGGUGCAUGGCCGACGUCAGCUCGUGCCGUAAGGUGUCACGUUAAGUCGUGCAACGAGCAAGACCUAUGUCCAUAGUUGCCAUCAAGUCUCUUGAUGUUUGGGCACACUAUGGAGACUGCCUUGGUAACAAGGAGGAAGGUGUAGGCAACGUUAGGUCUGUAUGCCCCGAAUCUGCUGGGAUACACGCGCGCAACAAUGGUAGAGACAGAGGGAUACAACUCCGAAAGGAGAAGUUAAGCUCUAAACUCUAUCUUAGUUCAGAUUGAGGGCUGUAACUCGCCCUCAUGACGCUGGAAUUCGUAGUAAUCGUCCGUCAAAAGCGAACGGUGAAUAAGUCCCUGUGCCUUGCACACACUGCCCGUCAAACCAACCGAGCAGGGUUUAGGUGAGGUUCACUCUUUAGAUUGGUCCGAACCUAGAUUCAGUGAGGUGGGUUAAGUCGUCACAAGGUAGCCGUAGGGGAACCUGCGGCUGGAUCACCUCCUUUAU